UGGUGGGUAGUUUGACUGGGGCGGUCUCCUCCUAAAGAGUAACGGAGGAGCACGAAGGUUGGCUAAUCCUGGUCGGACAUCAGGAGGUUAGUGCAAUGGCAUAAGCCAGCUUGACUGCGAGCGUGACGGCGCGAGCAGGUGCGAAAGCAGGUCAUAGUGAUCCGGUGGUUCUGAAUGGAAGGGCCAUCGCUCAACGGAUAAAAGGUACUCCGGGGAUAACAGGCUGAUACCGCCCAAGAGUUCAUAUCGACGGCGGUGUUUGGCACCUCGAUGUCGGCUCAUCACAUCCUGGGGCUGAAGUAGGUCCCAAGGGUAUGGCUGUUCGCCAUUUAAAGUGGUACGCGAGCUGGGUUUAGAACGUCGUGAGACAGUUCGGUCCCUAUCUGCCGUGGGCGCUGGAGAACUGAGGGGGGCUGCUCCUAGUACGAGAGGACCGGAGUGGA
This 443-nucleotide ribosomal RNA is filed under the name Escherichia coli. RNAcentral's name for it is "partial 23S ribosomal RNA". It matches the Rfam family "Bacterial large subunit ribosomal RNA", at positions 2259 to 2701 of the family's 2925-position model. Lineage: Bacteria; Pseudomonadati; Pseudomonadota; Gammaproteobacteria; Enterobacterales; Enterobacteriaceae. The record is from RNAcentral.